GUGCUCCCUUCGGUAGCACAUACACUAAAACUGGGAUAAUAAUACAAAUAUUAGCAUGGCCCAUAGAGGACUUGAUGAUUUGCGAAGUGUUCCAUAUUUAA
RNAcentral lists this small nuclear RNA (101 nucleotides) under Microtus ochrogaster (prairie vole). The record is from RNAcentral. Lineage: Eukaryota; Metazoa; Chordata; Mammalia; Rodentia; Cricetidae.